AGAGUUUGAUCAUGGCUCAGGACGAACGCUGGCGGCGUGCUUAACACAUGCAAGUCGAGCGGGGUUUAUCGGAUUAGCUUGCUAAACUGAUAAACCUAGCGGCGGACGGGUGAGUAACGCGUGAGCAAUCUGCCUUAUACAGGGGGAUAACAGGUGGAAACACCUGCUAAUACCGCAUAAGACUCCACUACCGCAUGGUAGAGAAGUCAAAGGGAUUACCGGUAUGAGAUGAGCUCGCGUCCCAUUAGCUAGUUGGUAGGGUAAAGGCCUACCAAGGCGACGAUGGGUAGCCGACCUGAGAGGGUGAUCGGCCACACUGGGACUGAGACACGGCCCAGACUCCUACGGGAGGCAGCAGUGGGGAAUAUUGCACAAUGGAGGGAACUCUGAUGCAGCAACGCCGCGUGAGUGAAGAAGGUUUUCGGAUCGUAAAACUCUGUCAUUGGGGAAGAAUAAAUGACGGUACCCAAUGAGGAAGCCCCGGCUAACUACGUGCCAGCAGCCGCGGUAAUACGUAGGGGGCGAGCGUUGUCCGGAAUUACUGGGCGUAAAGGGUACGUAGGCGGCUAUAUAAGUCAGGUGUGAAAUACCAGUGCUUAACACUGGAAUUGCAUUUGAAACUGUGUAGCUUGAGUGCAGGAAAGGAAAGUGGAAUUCCUAGUGUAGCGGUGAAAUGCGUAGAGAUUAGGAGGAACACCAGUGGCGAAGGCGACUUUCUGGACUGUAACUGACGCUGAGGUACGAAAGCGUGGGUAGCGAACAGGAUUAGAUACCCUGGUAGUCCACGCCGUAAACGAUGGAUACUAGGUGUAGGGGGUAUCGACCCCCCCUGUGCCGGAGUUAACGCAAUAAGUAUCCCGCCUGGGGAGUACGGUCGCAAGACUGAAACUCAAAUGAAUUGACGG
Molecule: ribosomal RNA, 905 nt
Filed under: uncultured bacterium
Lineage: Bacteria
Description: bacterial SSU rRNA
Rfam family: Bacterial small subunit ribosomal RNA
Source: RNAcentral